This 1113-nucleotide ribosomal RNA is filed under the name Triticum aestivum (bread wheat). RNAcentral describes it as "partial small subunit ribosomal RNA". The record is from RNAcentral. Lineage: Eukaryota; Viridiplantae; Streptophyta; Magnoliopsida; Poales; Poaceae.
AUGAACUUGUUGCUCGGGAUGGUUAAGGGGAGAAGGUCCAAGAGACGGAGGUGCUCGGCGGCCAACCUCACUGAUGACCUCGUCGUUGAGAUCCUCUCUCGCCUCCCUGCCAGAUCAGUCUGCCGCUUCAAGUGCGUGUCCACGACAUGGCGGGACCUCAUCUCGCACCCUGUUCACCGUAUGAAGCUUCCCCAGACCCUGGCCGGCUUCUUCACAAAGCACGAUAGUGAAACUGUAUUGUGGUCAGUCCCCCAUUUCACCAAUGUCUCUGGCACAGGCCUCCCGUUUGUCUCCCCUUCACUUGACUUCCUGCCAGUCCACAAACGCAUUUUUCUCUUGGACAGCUGCAACGGCCUUCUCCUCUGCAGCUGUUGUGCUGCCGGGGAAUUGGAUAUGAUAUAUUACCAUCAGUUUGUGUGUAAUCCUACCACAAAGGAGUGGGUUGCACUACCGGACCACAACCAGGCUGAAAAAUGGCGGUGUUCAUGUCUGGGUUUUAAUCCAACCAUGGCACCCCACUUCUACGUGUUUGAGUUCUUCAAAGACUUUGGGCCCCUAGCCCCCUCGGUCGUUGGAGUGGAAGUAUAUUCAUCUGAAACGGGAGAACGGGUUCGUAAAGAGCAUGAACUGGAUAAUGAUUUUAGCCUUCCCGAUAGGUUGCCAGGUGUCUUUUUCAACGACUGUCUGCAUUAUCUCACCCACAAGCCUUCUAUAGUUGUGGUGGACACCGAGGGGGAAGUGUGCCGAAACAUACCUGUCCCUGUCCCUGGUGAGCAGUGGUUUGGUUUCAUUCAGCUGUCCCAGGGACGUUUGCAUUACGCCAAUUUUGAGGCAGACCAUGAAGACGAGGUGGUUCGACUGGUGGUUUAUGUUCUUGAGGACUAUGACAAGCAAGAAUGGACAUUGAAGCAUACUGCUGAAGCCUCACAUGUAGUUGGAUCACAUGGUUUAUAUGAACCUGGAUGGGUAAGUUAUAUAAAUCUUGCAGAAAAGUUUGAGUGGGUUGCAAUUCAUCCAGACUGUAACAUGAUCUUUUACACUGUUGAGUGGGAUAAAACAUUGAUGUCCUAUGAUAUAGAUCGUCGGCAAGUCCAAGAGAUCUGCACUCUUUGA